UACGGAGGAUGCAAGCGUUAUCCGGAAUUAUUGGGCGUAAAGCGUCCGCAGGUGGCACUUCAAGUCUGUCGUCAAAGACCGGGGCUUAACCCUGGAAAGGCGAUGGAAACUGAAAGGCUAGAGAGAGGUAGGGGUAGAGGGAAUUCCCAGUGUAGCGGUGAAAUGCGUAGAGAUUGGGAGGAACACCAGUGGCGAAGGCGGCUUCCUGGCCUGUUCUUGACGCUGAGGCGCGAAAGCUAGGGGAGCAAACGGG
This 253-nucleotide ribosomal RNA is filed under the name uncultured bacterium. Its description in RNAcentral is "partial 16S ribosomal RNA". It matches the Rfam family "Bacterial small subunit ribosomal RNA", at positions 524 to 776 of the family's 1533-position model. The record is from RNAcentral.